This 781-nucleotide ribosomal RNA is filed under the name uncultured Neocallimastigales. RNAcentral describes it as "partial large subunit ribosomal RNA". It matches the Rfam family "Eukaryotic large subunit ribosomal RNA", at positions 26 to 635 of the family's 3401-position model. Lineage: Eukaryota; Fungi; Neocallimastigomycota; Neocallimastigomycetes; Neocallimastigales. The record is from RNAcentral.
CGUCUAUAUACGUAUAGCAUAUCAAUAAGCGGAGGAAAAGAAACUAACAAGGAUUCCCUUAGUAACGGCGAGUGAAGCGGGAAGAGCUCAAAUUUGAAAUCUUCAAGGUUUUACCUUGACGAAUUGUAGUUUAAAGAAGUGUUUUCUGUUGGAGUUUUGGUAAAAGUUCUUUGGAAUAGGACAUCAUAGAGGGUGAGAAUCCCGUAUUUGACCAUUUCUUCCAGCUGUGUGAUACACUUUCAAAGAGUCGGAUUGUUUGGGAAUGCAGUCCAAAAUGGGUGGUAAAUUUCAUCUAAAGCUAAAUAUUGGCGAGAGACCGAUAGCGAACAAGUACCGUGAGGGAAAGAUGAAAAGAACUUUGAAAAGAGAGUUAAACAGUACGUGAAAUUGUCAAAAGGGAAGCGUUUGACACCAGUGUUGUUUUCUCGAAAAUCAAUUAAAAUGAUGGGAUUUUGUGUUGUAUUGACUUUAUCAGCUUUCUGCACUUUUUUCUUGAUCUUUUUUAAUGCACUUUUCGUUUAACAAGUCAACAUCAAUUUCUUUUGUUGUAAAAGAGGUCAUUGAGGAAGGUGGCUUUCAUUUCGGUGAAAGCGUUUAUAGCCUUUGACUUCUGCAAUCGGAGAGAUUGAGGUCUGCAGCGUAGAUCCUUCGGGGUUAGAUACAUUUGUGCUAAGCUUAUAGUUCUUUCAUAGACAACUUGUUGACUAUGAUUCAAUCCUGUAAGCUUACUCGCUUAUGCUAUUUUACCUACGCUUAGGAUGUUGAUAUGCAUGACUGAUAU